This 75-nucleotide transfer RNA is filed under the name Marinomonas profundimaris. RNAcentral's name for it is "tRNA-Gln". It matches the Rfam family "tRNA". From Rfam's summary of the family: Transfer RNA (tRNA) molecules are approximately 80 nucleotides in length. The record is from RNAcentral. Lineage: Bacteria; Pseudomonadati; Pseudomonadota; Gammaproteobacteria; Oceanospirillales; Oceanospirillaceae.
UGGGGUAUAGCCAAGCGGUAAGGCAACAGGUUUUGAUCCUGUCAUGCUUAGGUUCGAAUCCUUCUACCCCAGCCA